This is an RNA transcript of Parus major (Great Tit), 2178 nucleotides long. RefSeq lists it as uncharacterized. The record is from RefSeq and is a predicted model, not a curated record. NCBI's taxonomy places the organism in Eukaryota, Metazoa, Chordata, Aves, Passeriformes, Paridae. The transcript is spliced from 4 exons.
UGUGAGGAGGGAGGACCCCUGUGAGGGUUCGGAGGACUCCCGGUGAGGGAGGGGGCUGGGGGACACUCUGAGAGGGGCGAUCUUUGGGCUCUGAGGAGGGGGGAUCCCCGUGUGGUGGGCGCUCAGCCAGAGAGCAAAUCCCGCCACAAAGGUCUAACCUCGGUCUUCAUUCUUACAGUUCUCAAUCUCUUCCCUUAAGCAAACGCCAAAACCACCUUGGGUAAGGUCUUGAGGCGAGUGCGACCCUAGGAUUGCUCUCCAGUAGAGGGCAGAUGGGUAUUUAAGAAAGGAAAAGUGCUGAAAUGUAGCCAAACACGCCCAAGUGCUGCUUCCUGCCCCGGAAUGUUUUCACCAGUCGAGAGUCUACAUUGAAUAGGAGCUGCUAUGGUCAAUUGCAGGAAGAAACAUUGUUUCUGGGCUGAGAAGGGCAGGAGGGAGGAAGCGGUGGAAGCAGAGGCUGUGGAUUGUGCCACCGUCCCCAGAGCCCCCUGCCAGCCCCUCGGGCAAGGUGAAAACUUUUGGCUUUGGAUUCUGUCAGCCCCAUUGGGGUGAAACACUUUGGGUAUUCCAGACUUGGAAUUGUGUCCCAAGAGGCGAGGAGUGGAAGGAGGAGCGGGUGACUGCAGGGUGGGCACUCCUCGGGGCAGAGCUGGGCCCGGGGGUCUCUGUCACACACCUGGAGCUCCGGGGAUUUACUGCCCCGGUUUGGGAUUCCCCCCGGCAGCUGGCCACAACCCAGGCCUCAGCAAUAAAGCAGGAAUGGCUCCUCACCCCUUUUUCAGCAGGAAAAAUGUUUUUCCUCCUUUCCCUCCCAACUUUUCAUCACUGGUAACGCUUUUAUUUUCCUUCCACCUCCUUCCAACCUUUGAAAUUCACCCAGGUGGGAUCUCAGCCACCUUCCCACAUUUCCCUAGGGAUGCCCACCAGCCUGGAUCCGCCUAAAGACGCUGUCACCUCCAAAUCCUGGCACUUGUACAGGAAAAUUGCUCUUUUUUCCUCUCUUUUUGGUUAAAUCCGGGGCUGUUCCCGCGGUUCCAAGAGCUGCCCCCUCCAGCCUCCACCUCCCGUGCCAAAAAGUGCUUUGAAACCUGCAGAGAUCCGGAGCUUUUCCACAGAAUUCUCCCCAGCCAGGUGAUCUGACAGAUAUUCUGGGGUGUCAAUACCUGCAUUGUUGGGAAUGGAACAAAUCCCAGUGGUGAAAGCAGCUGGAUUAGUGCUGAGCUGCCUGGGAAUUCCAGCCUGAGCACAGACCUUGUGCAAAUCCCGGGGACCAGCUCUGCAGUGGCAACAAAAAUAUUCUCUUGCUAUCUUGCUUCAAACAUUUGCAGAGGUGUGGAAGGGAUUUUCCCCUUUCAUCCAUGAUUUUCUUCUCCCAAAAUUGUUAAUUUUUGGAUUCAGGCAACGUUGAGUGUUUGUCCCGUGACACUCUCAGGGAAAACCAUCCUUCACCUGUUUGUUUCAGGAAGAAUUUGAGGGAGUUUUUCAUCAAAACACCCAAAAUAAGAAAUUCCAGGGUUUUACAAUAUUUAGGCAGAUAUUCUACUUCCCACACCAGCCAGGGCUGUAAACUGGCGGCACAUGGGAAUCCAGACGUGACAGCCUGGAAGUCUGGUUGUCUUUGGAGAUACAAAUGUCACUUUUUAAAACCAAAAUGUCUCUUUUUAAAGAACUAAAACCCUUUUUUUAACAUGCAGCUGAUCUGCACUGCGCCUUCCCCACUGCCACCCUCAGCUAUUGCCAUCUUCUCCCCAAAACAGGUGAUUUUGCCAAAAAACCCCUUCAGCUGGGAAAAAAACUUCCCCUCUGGAAGGGGAAAUUAAAAAUAAAAAGUCCGUGGGGCUCAUGGGAACUGGUUUGGGUUAUUUUGGGAGGAUAAAGCCGAGGAUGUUGUCACCUUUUGGAGGGGAACCCCUGGUUUCAUUUCUGGAGGUGUCCGUGUCUCAACGCCAACCAAAACCGAGGUGGAUUUAUCUCUGCCUGGAAUUCAGACCCGGCUGCGCCCCCAGCUCUUCCACAGAAAACCACCGGCAGCUUUUUUAGCCAAAAGCAGCUUUUUUAGCCAAAAGCAGCAUUUUUCUGGUCAGCGAAUUCCCUCCCACGGAGCCCAGGCCGGGCUGUGCCGGGUCAGGGCCUUUCCUGCCCGCGCCGGUCCCGGGAGUGCGUCCGUGCCAGCGUGGG